RNAcentral lists this transfer RNA (86 nucleotides) under Flexivirga endophytica. RNAcentral's name for it is "tRNA-Tyr". It matches the Rfam family "tRNA". From Rfam's summary of the family: Transfer RNA (tRNA) molecules are approximately 80 nucleotides in length. Their secondary structure includes four short double-helical elements and three loops (D, anti-codon, and T loops). The record is from RNAcentral. Lineage: Bacteria; Bacillati; Actinomycetota; Actinomycetes; Micrococcales; Dermacoccaceae.
GCCAGGUUGCCCGAGCGGCCAAUGGGAGCGGACUGUAAAUCCGUCGCAGUAAUGCUACCUAGGUUCGAAUCCUAGACCUGGCACCA